Molecule: transfer RNA, 74 nt
Filed under: Erythrobacter sp. THAF29
Lineage: Bacteria; Pseudomonadati; Pseudomonadota; Alphaproteobacteria; Sphingomonadales; Erythrobacteraceae
Description: tRNA-Gln
Rfam family: tRNA
About the family: Transfer RNA (tRNA) molecules are approximately 80 nucleotides in length. Their secondary structure includes four short double-helical elements and three loops (D, anti-codon, and T loops).
Source: RNAcentral
UCCGAGGUAGCUUAGUAGACAAAGUGCCGGGCUCUGGACCCGGAGAGCGCGGGUGCAAUUCCCGCCCUCGGACC